GACGAACGCUGGCGGCGUGCCUAAUACAUGCAAGUAGAACGCACAGUUUAUACCGUAGCUUGCUACACCAUAAACUGUGAGUUGCGAACGGGUGAGUAACGCGUAGGUAACCUGCCUGGUAGCGGGGGAUAACUAUUGGAAACGAUAGCUAAUACCGCAUAAUAUUGAUUAUUGCAUGAUAAUUGAUUGAAAGAUGCUAUUGCAUCACUACCAGAUGGACCUGCGUUGUAUUAGCUAGUAGGUGAGGUAACGGCUCACCUAGGCGACGAUACAUAGCCGACCUGAGAGGGUGAUCGGCCACACUGGGAAUGAGACCCGGCCCAGAAUCCUACGGGAGGCAGCAGUAGGGAAUCUUCGGCAAUGGACGAAAGUCUGACCGAGCAACGCCGCGUGAGUGAAGAAGGUUUUCGGAUCGUAAAGCUCUGUUGUAAGAGAAGAACGGGUGUGAGAGUGGAAAGUUCACACUGUGACGGUAUCUUACCAGAAAGGGACGGCUAACUACGUG
Molecule: ribosomal RNA, 505 nt
Filed under: uncultured bacterium
Lineage: Bacteria
Description: partial 16S ribosomal RNA
Rfam family: Bacterial small subunit ribosomal RNA
Source: RNAcentral